Molecule: long non-coding RNA, 3837 nt
Filed under: Homo sapiens (human)
Lineage: Eukaryota; Metazoa; Chordata; Mammalia; Primates; Hominidae
Description: HSALNT0004020
Source: RNAcentral
AGACACUCCCCACCACCCUACCCUCAGCUUUCACAGUGAAAUUAGGAGCAGUGUGUGGUAAGAGGAACGUCUGAGUCCCAGUCCCAGUCCUGAGAUCUCCGGUGAGGACUGCAUCUCCUAGAGGCCAUGUGACUUGCCCAAGGUGUCACAGCUCCUGACCAUGGAGCACGCCUGCCCCCGGGACACAAGGGCCAGAACCCUCAGCCACACAGGGUUGAAGCAGCCACAGUCUCCACGUGGCUCUCACAUUUUCCCAUUCAACCAUGUACUUGUUUGAUCUGCAUCACAAUCCUGGGAGCUCCUCAGGCAGGAUGGUCACGCCCACUUGUUGGAUGAAGAAAUUGAGGUCCCGGGAGAAGAAGCAACUUCACUGGAUCCAAACAGGGGUUGGGGGUUACUAGUAGAGGCAGGACUAGGGGCCUGGCUGCAGUGCUCAUGAGCACUGGAGAGAAGCUGAAGGCAGGGAUGCAGGCUGGGGGGCGAAUCAGGGAGGGCUGCCUGAAAGAGGUGGGCUGAAAGGCUGGCUUGGGAGGACUGAAAUAAUGAGGCCUGCUGAGAAAGGAGCUCAGAACUGAAGGGCAAGGUGAGUUCAGAUACAAAUGCCAAGAGGAAAGAAGGCUGCUUUCCGUGUGGAUGAUGCAGAUAAUCUGAGAUCCUCCAGGGGCCUGAGUCAGGGCCAAGGUUUAGAUGACAGCUGAGACCCUCGAGGUACUUAUCUAUCCUGGAGUGUGUCCUGUCUGCAAAUAGGUUAUUCAGACACCCUCACAUAGCACUCGCUGUGUGCCUGGCACCCCCGAACAGCUCUGUAGCACCUCAGGCUGUGAGAUAGGGAUUCUUGUUAGUGUCUGCCUUACAGGUGAGCUUAGGUCACUGGCCCCAGGACCCACAGCCCUGAAUGUUGCAGCUAGGGUCUGUGUGGCCACAAUGCUACCUUGCUGCUGCGUGCAACGGCCACUCCCCUGCCCUUCCCCUCCCCUCCCCUCCUGGGAGGUCACAUAGUGACAGCUGACAGCAGGAAGAUUCCACCCAGGCAGCCAUGUGUGGUCAUCCAGAAGUGUCCAACAUCAGCUCAGCCACCACACCUGACCACACUUGAGUCAGGGGUACAGGGCUGUCUGGGGACAUUGGAGAUCGAGCAUGUGGAGAUGGGUUCAAGCCCUGGGUUAGCCCUGUAAUGGCUGUGUGACCUCAGGUGAGCCACUUAAUUUCUCUGGGCUGCCCUUUCCUCCUGGGUCCUGUUUCCUGCCUGGGGCCAUGGGAUGUUUAAGUGGAUAAGGAUGCAUUUUACAAAACCAAGAUAGAUUAUUGUGAACCCGUGGGCAUCACUCUCACCACAAGGGCCUCCUGAUCUCGAGCAAUCCCCGGCGCAGCAAGAAGCUCUUCUUCCCUCCCCUGGCACAAUUUUUCGUGAACUAAAUCUCCCAGCAGACAAGUAAGUGAGAGCUAUGAUUGACUCAUCGUUGUCAAUAUUCCUCCCACUGUUUGCUGUCUCAGCAUCCCUGGGGAACCUGGGGAAUCGGCAAGAAAAAUUCCUGCCUGACUCUGAGAGCCCCAAGCCUUGCCAGGGUCUCAGGGUGCUUAGAAUCCUAGUAUGUCAGAGCUGGAUUCUUGAUGCCAUAAGGUUCAAUCCUUUUACUGGACAGAUGGGGAAGCUGAGGCCUGAAGGUACAUAAUGAUGACAAUAAUAAUAAUGACAGCAACACAACAACGUUUGUGUCAAUGCUUUCAGCUGCAGAUGGUGAGAAGAAAAUCCACAUCAGACUGGCUUCAGCACAAAGGUGGGAGGCAUUAGCAUAGGUGACAGAAAAAUCAGAGUAGGACUUCAGGAAUGGCUUGAUCAAGAGCUCAAAAAAUGUCACCUGGUCCCACUUUUACUCUGUCCCAGAGUCUGCUGUGGUUCUGCCCCAUUGGCUUCAUCCUCAGGCACAGUGUGGUGGCAAAUGGCCGCGGCAGCCUGUCUGUCCCCCGAGGUUCAAUAUCAGAGACAAAGAGCUUGUGCCUCAGUCCCAGCAUUCCCAACCAGUGUUUUGUUGCACUCCGUUGGCUCUUAUGGGCCAUGUGAUCAUCCUUGAGCCAAUUUAGUAUAAUACCCUGACUAGCUGGGGCCUGGGGUGAAGCCCCACUCAGAACCACAGACUGAAUGUGGAAAGGGAGGAUCUCCCCCAAAUCAAGGGCUGUUGCUGAAAUAAGAGGACAUGGUUACUGGGGAGACAAAAAGCUGGCGCCCAUUAGCACACACUCCUGGAAGGAGCACACACCAUACCCAGGUGCUGUGCUAGGCACUUGGCAUUUGUUUCCACAACUCUCCCCAGCAAGCAGCCAGGUGGGCAUCCUUACCAAGGAGGAAACUGAAGUCAGAAAGUGAGAGACCCACCCAACACACAGUGAGAAAGGUUCAGGGUCAUCACUCAGAGCACAUGACAGAACAGGUACUCCUGGGGGCAACGGGGGAUGAGUCCACUGGGAACUCUAAGAGUUAUAGAGCUUGCCUCUGAGCCACCCACCUGUGGAGUGGGGCCCUGGGGUGCAUGUCCUCCAAGUCCUCACCCACCCUUGGCUGAAGACUAUCUGCCCGGCACGCAGGCUCAGGGAAGCCCUCAGAUGGAGUCACAGGCACUUGUCUGUAUAUUCCAGUGGUUUGGUCCAGGGUGGGGAGUGUUGAGGGAUGCAGAUGGGACGCGGACAGCAUCGCUAAGGUCUAUGUCCAACAGGGGGUGGUGAUCUGCCCCCUCCUUUCCAGUCAUGCCCACCCCACCAUAGAGCUGCUAAUCUGAUUCAUCGGGGUCCAUGUGCUAAUUGGGCCCAGGUAAUGGAAGGGCAGGGCCACUGUGCUGCAAGGCCAGGGCCCCACAGAGCUUUCUCUUCCACUUUCGGCACUGCCACAUGGCGGGCAGAUAAAGGCCAGACCCUACUCUUCUUUCCCACCUUGUCCAAAAAAGCACUGAGUGGUUAAGUUAGGCCAGAGGCUGCACGCUCAGCCCUGGGGUCUCCUCUUCCUGAACUUCCUUUCUCUUUGUGGUCAGCCAGAGAUGAACCUAUCUCAAAACUCAUAUAGGGGCCAGGCACAGUGGCUCACACCUGUAAUCUCAGCACUUUGGGAGGCUGAGGUGGGUGGAUCACCUGAGGUCAGGAGUUCGAGACCAGCCUGGCCAACAUGGUGAAACCCCGUCUCUACUAAAAAUACAAAAAUUAGCCGAGUGUGGUCGCGGGUGCCUGUAAUCCCAGCUACUCGGGAGGCUGAGGCAGGCGAAUCACUUGAACCCAGGAGGCGGAAGUUGCAGUGAGCCGAGAUCGCACCACUGUACUCCAGCCUGGGUGAUAGAGCAAGACUCUGUCUCAAAACAAACAAACAAAAAAACAAACUCAUAUAAGAAUGAGGUAGGAGGCCCCAUCUAAACUUUGAGCCUCAGCUAGAAACUUCUGUAUCUGAGUAUGGAGACAGAAGUGACUUUAUCUUGGAUGUGAAUCUGCCAUGUUGAUUUCUGAUUAGCCCCAGGACUGUGAAUGUCUCCUGAUUCCUUUUUUUUUUUUUUUUACUAUCCCUGGGGCAAGAGCAUGUCUAUCUUGAUGUCAUUGCACAAAUCAUAGGCUAUGCUGCACGUAGUGCUCUGGCCUAUUCUGGAGGGCUGCCUUUGACUGUCUUGCUAGAACACUUAGCCUUUCCCUAUGGUUUACAAGCUUUGGGUCUUGGGGGUAAAAGUGUGGAGGUCUGCUGUCUAGUCAUAGAUAAGCUUUGGGUGUUGGGGGUAACAGUGUGGCGGUCUGCCUGUCUGGUGGCUGUUCAAGACCAUGCUUCUGUCUGUAAAUUUGCUAAUAAAACACUCUUUACUGACAAAC